Long non-coding RNA from Thunnus maccoyii (southern bluefin tuna), 425 nucleotides. RefSeq lists it as uncharacterized. The transcript has 3 exons. The record is from RefSeq and is a predicted model, not a curated record. NCBI's taxonomy places the organism in Eukaryota, Metazoa, Chordata, Actinopteri, Scombriformes, Scombridae.
UCUUCAGAUGUAGACGGGCGACGGAGAGCCACAAAGCUGUCAAACGCACCGAGACCUCGCCAUUUUUGUUUGUUUUCCACAAAUGCAAACCGCCACAAAAAACACCUCGGUGAACAAUCUGGCCUUACCUGCCGUGGAACCAGUCCUUGCAAGCAUCGCACUCGAUCAUAAACUGGGUCACGUCGUAAGAAUGAUUCAUCGCAAACUUACCAGGUACACUCCCUGACUCUUGAAGACCCGUGCAUGGUACCUGCCUCCCCGACCAAACGUUCGAAUGACGGGCGUGGAGAUCACUCCUCUCGGACGACUGCGGGAAACGGAAGCAAGUCCACGUUACACACACCACCUGGACAGGGAAGCCUCCUCUUCCUCGGCUGCGUCGGGUACCUGCCCACUGACCCACCACAGUGCCAGCGAUCUCCAGC